AUUGAACGCUGGCGGCAGGCCUAACACAUGCAAGUCGAACGGUAGCACAGAGAGCUUGCUCUUGGGUGACGAGUGGCGGACGGGUGAGUAAUGUCUGGGAAACUGCCUGAUGGAGGGGGAUAACUACUGGAAACGGUAGCUAAUACCGCAUAACGUCGCAAGACCAAAGAGGGGGACCUUCGGGCCUCUUGCCAUCAGAUGUGCCCAGAUGGGAUUAGCUAGUAGGUGGGGUAACGGCUCACCUAGGCGACGAUCCCUAGCUGGGCUGAGAGGAUGACCAGCCACACUGGAACUGAGACACGGUCCAGACUCCUACGGGAGGCAGCAGUGGGGAAUGUUGCACAAUGGGCGCAAGCCUGAUGCAGCCAUGCCGCGUGUAUGAAGAAGGCCUUCGGGUUGUAAAGUACUUUCAGCGAGGAGGAAGGCGAUACGGUUAAUAACCGUGUCGAUUGACGUUACUCGCAGAAGAAGCACCGGCUAACUCCGUGCCAGCCGCCGCCGUAA
RNAcentral lists this ribosomal RNA (504 nucleotides) under uncultured bacterium. Its description in RNAcentral is "partial 16S ribosomal RNA". It matches the Rfam family "Bacterial small subunit ribosomal RNA", at positions 30 to 523 of the family's 1533-position model. The record is from RNAcentral.